This 776-nucleotide ribosomal RNA is filed under the name uncultured Neocallimastigales. Its description in RNAcentral is "partial large subunit ribosomal RNA". It matches the Rfam family "Eukaryotic large subunit ribosomal RNA", at positions 24 to 644 of the family's 3401-position model. Lineage: Eukaryota; Fungi; Neocallimastigomycota; Neocallimastigomycetes; Neocallimastigales. The record is from RNAcentral.
UAUCUCUGUAGAGUCUGCAUAUCAAUAAGCGGAGGAAAAGAAACUAACAAGGAUUCCCUUAGUAACGGCGAGUGAAGCGGGAAGAGCUCAAAUUUGAAAUCUUCAAGGUUCUACCUUGACGAAUUGUAGUUUAAAGAAGUGUUUUCUGUUAGACUGAGUAGCAAAAGUUCCUUGGAAUGGGACAUCAUAGAGGGUGAGAAUCCCGUAUUUGGUUACUCAUUCUAGCUUUGUGAUACACUUUCAAAGAGUCGGAUUGUUUGGGAAUGCAGUCCAAAAUGGGUGGUAAAUUUCAUCUAAACUAAAUAUUGGCGAGAGACCGAUAGCGAACAAGUACCGUGAGGGAAAGAUGAAAAGAACUUUGAAAAGAGAGUUAAACAGUACGUGAAAUUGUCAAAAGGGAAGCGUUUGACACCAGUGUUGUUUUUCCGAAAAUCAAUUACGAAUGGCCUGAUUUUGUGUUGUAUUGACCUUAUCAGCUUUCUUCACUUUUUUCGAGUCUUUCUUAAUGCACUUUUCGGUUAACAAGUCAACAUCAAUUUCUUUUGUUGUAAAAGAGUAUUCGGAAGGUGGCUUUCUUUUCGGAGAAAGUGUUUAUAGCCCUAUACUUCUACAAUCGGAGAGAUUGAGGUCUGCAGCGUAGAUCCUUCGGGGUUAGAUACACUUUGUGCUAAGUUGUAGCUUUUCAUAGACAACUUGUUGACUAUGUUUAGUCAUGCGGCUUACUCGCUUAGUGCUAUUUUACCUACGCUUAGGAUGUUGACUGAUAUGUAGUCGUA